GUGGGGAAUAUUGGACAAUGGGGGGAACCCUGAUCCAGCCAUGCCGCGUGUGUGAAGAAGGCCUUUUGGUUGUAAAGCACUUUAAGCGAGGAGGAGGCUACCGAGAUUAAUACUCUUGGAUAGUGGACGUUACUCGCAGAAUAAGCACCGGCUAACUCUGUGCCAGUAGCCGCGGUAAUACAGAGGGUGCAAGCGUUAAUCGGCUUUACUGGGCGUAAAGCGCGCGUAGGUGGCCAAUUAAGUCAAAUGUGAAAUCCCCGAGCUUAACUUGGGAAUUGCAUUCGAUACUGGUUGGCUAGAGUAUGGGAGAGGAUGGUAGAAUUCCAGGUGUAGCGGUGAAAUGCGUAGAGAUCUGGAGGAAUACCGAUGGCGAAGGCAGCCAUCUGGCCUAAUACUGACACUGAGGUGCGAAAGCAUGGGGAGCAAACAGGAUUAGAAACCCCGGUAGUCC
This 451-nucleotide ribosomal RNA is filed under the name uncultured bacterium. Its description in RNAcentral is "partial 16S ribosomal RNA". It matches the Rfam family "Bacterial small subunit ribosomal RNA", at positions 354 to 796 of the family's 1533-position model. The record is from RNAcentral.